ACGGGGGAUGCGAGCGUUAUCCGGAUUCAUUGGGUUUAAAGGGUGCGUAGGCUGUGCGUCAAGUCGGGGGUGAAAUUCCGGUGCUCAACACCGGGGCUGCCCUUGAUACUGUCGCGCUGGAGUGCGGAUGCCGCCGGAGGAAUGAGUGGUGUAGCGGUGAAAUGCUUAGAUAUCACUCAGAACACCGAUUGCGAAGGCAUCUGGCGAAUCCGUAACUGACGCUGAGGCACGAAAGCGUGGGGAUAGAACAG
Molecule: ribosomal RNA, 251 nt
Filed under: uncultured bacterium
Lineage: Bacteria
Description: partial 16S ribosomal RNA
Rfam family: Bacterial small subunit ribosomal RNA
Source: RNAcentral